RNAcentral lists this ribosomal RNA (330 nucleotides) under Triticum aestivum (bread wheat). RNAcentral's name for it is "partial small subunit ribosomal RNA". The record is from RNAcentral. Lineage: Eukaryota; Viridiplantae; Streptophyta; Magnoliopsida; Poales; Poaceae.
AUGAGGAAUAAGGUGGAUGAAAAGAAGAUGUCAUGGUUGGAUAGCAUCUACAAGUUCAAGGAAAAAUGGGCUGAAUGUUACAUGAGAGAUGUCUUCACAUUGGGUAUGAGAAGCACACAAUUAAGUGAGAGUUUCAAUAGUGACUUGAAAAAACAUUUAAAAUCAGAUUUUGACAUCAUUCGGUUCUUGAAGCAUUUCGAAAGGGCGGUGCAAGGAAAAAGAAACAAGGAACUAGAUGCAGAAUUUGAAGCUAGGAAAAAGUUACCUAGAAUAAGCAUGAAGACACCCAUGCUUGCAAGCAAGCAAACUUUACACACCCACAAUAUUUGA